Unclassified non-coding RNA from Otolemur garnettii (small-eared galago), 115 nucleotides. It matches the Rfam family "Y RNA". Rfam says of the family: Y RNAs are components of the Ro ribonucleoprotein particle (Ro RNP), in association with Ro60 and La proteins. The Y RNAs and Ro60 and La proteins are well conserved, but the function of the Ro RNP is not known. The record is from Ensembl. NCBI's taxonomy places the organism in Eukaryota, Metazoa, Chordata, Mammalia, Primates, Galagidae.
GAUUGGUCCAAAGAUAGUUAAGUGUUCUCAAUUGAUUAUUCACUGCCAGUUGCAGACUGAAUUCUUUGUUCUGCUCUGCCCUCCUUCUCACACUACUAUACUUGACUAGCUUAAA